GCCUCCAACACUCCAGGGAAAACAGCCCCAGCCUAUUCAGCCUCUUCCCAAAGCUCAAACGUCAAAGGCGGCCAACAUCCUUGUAGAUUUUUCCUGUUUAGCUACAUCUUUCCUAUAUCAGGGAGACCAACAUUGAACACAGUACGCUACAAGUGGCUGAAGCAAUGUCCUGUCCAGCUGCAACAUGACAUCCCAAGUUGCAUACUUAAUGUACUGACCAAUGAAGGCAAGUCUGCCAAAUGCCUUCUUCACCACCCUGUCUACCUGUGACUCCACUUUCAACGAACGCUGCGCCUACUCCCCUUGGUUUCUUUGUUUGGCAACACUCCCAGAGACGUGCCAUGCCUUGAUUUGCCUUACCAAAAUGUAAUACCUCAUAUUUAUCGAAAUUAAACUCCAUCAUCCACUCCUUGGCCCAUUGGCCUCCAUGUCCCUUGGGUAGAUGCCUAUGUAUUACUCAUUCUAUGUAUUAUUCCUUCUGCACUAUAACACUUCUGUGAUAUCCUGUGUGGUAUUGCUUGAAGUGGUGGUGAUAGUUUCCCUGCUACACCUCAAACUUGAUGUGAGACUCAGUCAGGGUCUCUCUGUAUUAAUGUCUCUUCAGAGUGACAGUGCAACUGACAGUGUCAUGUUCCAACUCAAGGUCUCAGUUCAACUUCGGUGCGAUGGAAUUGUUUGACCUGCUCGCAGUUGCUGGGCUGGGCUGGGCCAUUGCAGGCUUGGCUUUAGUGUUGAUGCUGGUACGGAGCCUUUGAGCAGUUAGCAGUGAAGCAGGAGUGUCUCUCUGGCACUUGGGUUACACGAACUGUUAUGGGACAGCCAUUGGCAGCAGGAGUCCUGGUGGACCCUUCACUUUGUGGAACAGAGGUGCUAUGUCGGAUUGUCUCAGCAUGCCAGGCCGAUGCCCUGGUUGAGAUCAGUUCGUUAAAACUCGCAGCAUGACUGUUCAUAUGUUUUUGGGUGGUGAGCUGCUGCUUCUCAAGGGUGACUUUAUUGAAGAAUGCCCUUUUUCCUCCCGGAGACAUGGACUCGCUUGAAGAUCAGCUGGAGCUGCUUCUGAAGGGAGAGGGCAUUGGAGUGCAGGGCUACAUCUCUCCCCUGGAAGAAGUGGGGCUGCUAACUGUGCAGAAGACAGUCUGCUACAUCGUCGCUGCAGUCAUACUGAAUG
This is a non-coding RNA of Chiloscyllium plagiosum (whitespotted bambooshark), 1168 nucleotides long. Lineage: Eukaryota; Metazoa; Chordata; Chondrichthyes; Orectolobiformes; Hemiscylliidae. The record is from RefSeq and is a predicted model, not a curated record.